This 61-nucleotide microRNA precursor is filed under the name Bos taurus (domestic cattle). RNAcentral describes it as "Bta-Mir-184_pre stem-loop". It matches the Rfam family "mir-184 microRNA precursor family", at positions 13 to 74 of the family's 86-position model. The record is from RNAcentral. Lineage: Eukaryota; Metazoa; Chordata; Mammalia; Artiodactyla; Bovidae.
CCUUAUCACUUUUCCAGCCAGCUUUGUGACUCUAACUGUUGGACGGAGAACUGAUAAGGGU